This 240-nucleotide unclassified non-coding RNA is filed under the name soil metagenome. Its description in RNAcentral is "partial contains 5.8S ribosomal RNA, internal transcribed spacer 2, and large subunit ribosomal RNA". The record is from RNAcentral.
AAGACUAUAGACCUGCGGAGUACCUGCGGAAGGAUCAUUAUCGUAUUGUAACAAUUGGGGGGGCCACCGUGGGCUGUCGCUGACCCUUUGAAAGGGGGGUCGUGCACGCCCCCAUAGUGUCAUCCUCAUACAAUCCAACUCACCUCUGUGCAUCACCGCGUGGGUUCCUUUCUGGGUCGAGUCAGACUGGCUCAGAAAAAAGGGACUUGCGUUUUCCAUACAAAUACCCUUAUAAAUCCA